CCUACGGGAGGCAGCAGUGGGGAAUAUUGGGCAAUGGGCGCAAGCCUGACCCAGCAACGCCGCGUGAAGGAAGAAGGCUUUCGGGUUUUAAACUUCUUUUGUCAGGGACGAAGCAAGUGAUGGUACCUGACGAAUAAGCCACGGCUAACUACGUGCCGACAACCGCGGUAAUACGUAGGUGGCCAGCGUUAUCCGGAUUUACUGGGUGUACAGGGCGUGUAGGCGGGGAAGCAAGUCAGAUGUGAAAACCACGGGCUCAACCUGUGGCCUGCAGUUGAAACUGUUUUUCUUGAGUGCUGGAGAGGCAAUCGGAAUUCCGUGUGUAGCGGUGAAAUGCGUAGAUAUACGGAGGAACACCAGUGGCGAAGGCGGAUUGCUGGAGAGUAACUGACGCUGAGGCGCGAAAGCGUGGGGAGCAAACAGGAUUAGAUACCCCAGUAGUC
Molecule: ribosomal RNA, 443 nt
Filed under: uncultured bacterium
Lineage: Bacteria
Description: partial 16S ribosomal RNA
Rfam family: Bacterial small subunit ribosomal RNA
Source: RNAcentral